GUCCCUCCCAUGGCACAAUGGGUGAGUGCGUAUGGCUGUUAACCGGAAGGUUGGUGGUUCAAGGCCACCCAGGGAUG
Molecule: non-coding RNA, 77 nt
Organism: Podarcis lilfordi (Lilford's wall lizard)
Lineage: Eukaryota; Metazoa; Chordata; Lepidosauria; Squamata; Lacertidae
Source: the annotation of a GenBank genome assembly